AUUGAACGCUGGCGGCAUGCCUUACACAUGCAAGUCGAACGGCAGCGGGCCUUCGGGUGCCGGCGAGUGGCGAACGGGUGAGUAAUGCAUCGGAACGUGCCAUUGAGUGGGGGAUAACGUAGCGAAAGUUACGCUAAUACCGCAUAUUCUGUGAGCAGGAAAGCAGGGGACCGCAAGGCCUUGCGCUCUUUGAGCGGCCGAUAUCAGAUUAGCUAGUUGGUGGGGUAAAGGCCUACCAAGGCAACGAUCUGUAGUUGGUCUGAGAGGACGACCAGCCACACUGGGACUGAGACACGGCCCAGACUCCUACGGGAGGCAGCAGUGGGGAAUUUUGGACAAUGGGCGCAAGCCUGAUCCAGCAAUGCCGCGUGCAGGAAGAAGGCCUUCGGGUUGUAACUAGCUUUGUUCAGGGAAGAAA
Molecule: ribosomal RNA, 418 nt
Filed under: uncultured bacterium
Lineage: Bacteria
Description: bacterial SSU rRNA
Rfam family: Bacterial small subunit ribosomal RNA
Source: RNAcentral